AGUGUAACGGACAACCAAGGCGAUGAUCAGUAGCCGGUCUGAGAGGAUGAACGGCCACAUUGGGACUGAGACACGGCCCAGACUCCUACGGGAGGCAGCAGUGGGGAAUCUUCCGCAAUGGGCGAAAGCCUGACGGAGCAACGCCGCGUGAGUGAAGAAGGUCUUCGGAUUGUAAAGCUCUGUUGUACAUGACGAAUGUGCCGGUUGUGAAUAAUGGCUGGUAAUGACGGUAGUGUACGAGGAAGCCACGGCUAACUAC
RNAcentral lists this ribosomal RNA (259 nucleotides) under uncultured bacterium. RNAcentral's name for it is "partial 16S ribosomal RNA". It matches the Rfam family "Bacterial small subunit ribosomal RNA", at positions 254 to 504 of the family's 1533-position model. The record is from RNAcentral.